RNAcentral lists this ribosomal RNA (468 nucleotides) under uncultured bacterium. RNAcentral describes it as "partial 16S ribosomal RNA". It matches the Rfam family "Bacterial small subunit ribosomal RNA", at positions 28 to 507 of the family's 1533-position model. The record is from RNAcentral.
GACGAACGCUGGCGGCGUGCUUAACACAUGCCAGUCGAACGGAAAGGCCCUGCUUUUGUGGGGUGCUCGAGUGGCGAACGGGUGAGUAACACGUGAGUAACCUGCCCUUGACUUUGGGAUAACUUCAGGAAACUGGGGCUAAUACCGGAUAGGAGCUCCUGCUGCAUGGUGGGGGUUGGAAAGUUUCGGCGGUUGGGGAUGGACUCGCGGCUUAUCAGCUUGUUGGUGGGGUAGUGGCUUACCAAGGCUUUGACGGGUAGCCGGCCUGAGAGGGUGACCGGCCACAUUGGGACUGAGAUACGGCCCCGACUCCUACGGGAGGGAGCAGGGGGGAAUAUUGCACAAUGGGCGGAAGCCUGAUGCAGCAACGCCGCGUGCGGGAUGACGGCCUUCGGGUUGUAAACCGCUUUCGCCUGUGACGAAGCGUGAGUGACGGUAAUGGGUAAAGAAGCACCGGCUAACUACGUG